UGCUCCGGUGUCUUAGUGGUUAGAGCAUCUGCCUGUGAUGCAAGAGGUCAAGGGUUCAAACCCAGGCUGAGUGA
This is a non-coding RNA of Potamilus streckersoni, 74 nucleotides long. The record is from the annotation of a GenBank genome assembly. Lineage: Eukaryota; Metazoa; Mollusca; Bivalvia; Unionida; Unionidae.